Molecule: long non-coding RNA, 267 nt
Filed under: Gallus gallus (chicken)
Lineage: Eukaryota; Metazoa; Chordata; Aves; Galliformes; Phasianidae
Description: long non-coding RNA NONGGAT003818
Source: RNAcentral
UCUUGGCUUGAAAGGGGAUGAUUCUUUCUGCACAGAAGAGGACCAAAAAAGAUAAGAGAUGCUAACAGAAUAGAGAAAGGAUGUGACUAUGAAGCAGAGAAGUGAAGAGGAUUUAACACAAACACUGAAAUAUUCCAUACCUCUAAACAUGUACUCCAUACUUUAAAGAGACCUUAUACAAUUCACAUGGAUAUAAUCCAUCCUUCCUUAAUCUGAACCCCAGCUGACUUUGAGGUUUGCAACCUGUUGGUGUUUCUACUGCAUGGG